Molecule: ribosomal RNA, 468 nt
Filed under: uncultured bacterium
Lineage: Bacteria
Description: partial 16S ribosomal RNA
Rfam family: Bacterial small subunit ribosomal RNA
Source: RNAcentral
GACGAACGCUGGCGGCGUGCUUAACACAUGCAAGUCGAACGGAAAGGUCCGGCGCUUGCUGCGUGCACGAUUGGCGAACGCGUGAGUGACACGCGAGUAACCUGCCCCUGACUUUCGGAUAACUCUACGGAAAACCGGCUAUUACCGGGUAGGAUCUCCUGCUGCACGGGGGUGGAUGGUAAGAUUCGGCGGUUGUGGAUGGACUCGCGGCUUAUGAGCUUGUUGGUGGGGUAGUUGCGGACCAAGGUUUCGACGGCUAGCCGGCCUGAGAGGGUGAACGGCGACAAGGGGACUGAGGGACGGCCCAGACUCCUACGGGAGGCAGCAGUGGGGAAUAUUACACAGUGGGCGGAAGCCUGAUGCAGCAACGCCGCGUGCGUGAUAACGGCCUACUGGUUGUGAACCGCUUUCGCAGGUGACGAAGCGUGAGUGACGGUAAUGGAUAAGAAAGCACCGGCUAACUACGUG